RNAcentral lists this ribosomal RNA (231 nucleotides) under uncultured bacterium. RNAcentral's name for it is "partial 16S ribosomal RNA". It matches the Rfam family "Bacterial small subunit ribosomal RNA", at positions 103 to 334 of the family's 1533-position model. The record is from RNAcentral.
CGGGUGAGUAACACAUAUCCCACCUGCCGUCUACUCUUGGACAGCCUUCUGAAAGGAAGAUUAAUACAAGAUGGCAUCAUGAGUCCGCAUGUUCACAUGAUUAAAGGUAUUCCGGUAGACGAUGGGGAUGCGUCCCAUUAGAUAGUAGGCGGGGUAACGGCCCACCUAGUCUUCGAUGGAUAGGGGUUCUGAGAGGAAGGUCCCCCACAUUGGAACUGAGACACGGUCCAA